This 236-nucleotide ribosomal RNA is filed under the name uncultured bacterium. RNAcentral's name for it is "partial 16S ribosomal RNA". It matches the Rfam family "Bacterial small subunit ribosomal RNA", at positions 100 to 334 of the family's 1533-position model. The record is from RNAcentral.
CGGGACGGGUGAGUAACGCGUGGGUAACCUGCCUCAUACAGGGGGAUAACAGUUGGAAACGGCUGCUAAUACCGCAUAAGCGCACAGUACCGCAUGGUACCGUGUGAAAAACUCCGGUGGUAUGAGAUGGACCCGCGUCUGAUUAGCUAGUUGGUGGGGUAACGGCCUACCAAGGCGACGAUCCCUAGCUGGUCUGAGAGGAUGACCAGCCACACUGGAACUGAGACACGGUCCAG